This 466-nucleotide ribosomal RNA is filed under the name Escherichia coli. RNAcentral describes it as "bacterial SSU rRNA". It matches the Rfam family "Bacterial small subunit ribosomal RNA", at positions 1 to 463 of the family's 1533-position model. RNAcentral also lists the same sequence under 1 other name. Lineage: Bacteria; Pseudomonadati; Pseudomonadota; Gammaproteobacteria; Enterobacterales; Enterobacteriaceae. The record is from RNAcentral.
AAAUUGAAGAGUUUGAUCAUGGCUCAGAUUGAACGCUGGCGGCAGGCCUAACACAUGCAAGUCGAACGGUAACAGGAAACAGCUUGCUGUUUCGCUGACGAGUGGCGGACGGGUGAGUAAUGUCUGGGAAACUGCCUGAUGGAGGGGGAUAACUACUGGAAACGGUAGCUAAUACCGCAUAAUGUCGCAAGACUAAAGAGGGGGACCUUCGGGCCUCUUGCCAUCGGAUGUGCCCAGAUGGGAUUAGCUAGUAGGUGGGGUAACGGCUCACCUAGGCGACGAUCCCUAGCUGGUCUGAGAGGAUGACCAGCCACACUGGAACUGAGACACGGUCCAGACUCCUACGGGAGGCAGCAGUGGGGAAUAUUGCACAAUGGGCGCAAGCCUGAUGCAGCCAUGCCGCGUGUAUGAAGAAGGCCUUCGGGUUGUAAAGUACUUUCAGCGGGGAGGAAGGGAGUAAAGUUAA